CAUACCACCCUGAACGCGCCCGAUCUCGUCUGAUCUCGGAAGCUAAGCAGGGUCGGGCCUGGUUAGUACUUGGAUGGGAGAAGAAAUAAUGAAAAGAGGGA
This 101-nucleotide ribosomal RNA is filed under the name Chinchilla lanigera (long-tailed chinchilla). Lineage: Eukaryota; Metazoa; Chordata; Mammalia; Rodentia; Chinchillidae. The record is from RNAcentral.